UGGGAAGUUAUCUUGAUUUGGGGAUGUAGAAUUUGGCUCUCUCUCUCUCUCUGUUUCAAAAUUUCUGUGGCUGAUAGGGUUUUUUCCUUUCUCUUUUUUUUUUCAAUUUUACUGUUGUUUGCUUCCCCUAAAACCUCUCUGUUGCUGCAGAAUUUCCUCAUUGGUUUUUUCUUCUCUCAUUUGAUUUUUUAAUCUAUUCCAAGUUCUUUGGUACUGAUUGUGUCAUUCGAUUUUCUUUUUGUUGUGACUGUAUUCCUCUCCAUCUGUUCUGCUCCUUUUUGGUUUUGUUUUAAUUGUUUUUCCCCACUUGCUUCCGUUAUUCAAAAU
Molecule: long non-coding RNA, 327 nt
Filed under: Gossypium raimondii (Peruvian cotton)
Lineage: Eukaryota; Viridiplantae; Streptophyta; Magnoliopsida; Malvales; Malvaceae
Description: long non-coding RNA (GRAI_LNC003066)
Source: RNAcentral